This is a small nuclear RNA of Otolemur garnettii (small-eared galago), 162 nucleotides long. Its record names the gene U1. It matches the Rfam family "U1 spliceosomal RNA". Rfam says of the family: U1 is a small nuclear RNA (snRNA) component of the spliceosome (involved in pre-mRNA splicing). Its 5' end forms complementary base pairs with the 5' splice junction, thus defining the 5' donor site of an intron. Lineage: Eukaryota; Metazoa; Chordata; Mammalia; Primates; Galagidae. The record is from Ensembl.
AUACAUACCUGGCAGGGGAGAUACCAUCAUCAUGAAGGUGGUUUUCCCAGGGUGAGGCUUAUCCAUUGCCUGGAUGUGCUGAUUCCUGCAAUUUCCCCAAAUUGUGGGAAACUCGACUGUAUAAUUUGUGGUAGUGGGGGACUGCUUUCAUGCUUUCCCCUG